CCUCUGAUUGGAGGACAAACGUGCUCCCCACUCACCCACAGUCGCCCAAUGGAAUAGAAAAAGAGACUGAAGUGUGAAUGUGGGCAAUCGAGCAAUAGUCAGCCUGUGUAUGGAGAGAGGGAGAGAGGUGAAACUUAACCUCAUCAUAAUUCACCGUGAUUCUCUGGUUCAACAUUGCACGUAACCACAUGGCAACUUUUCUAAUAUCAUUUUGGGGGGGUUGGGAUUUUAGAUAGAGAUCAUGGUUAUAUUUCAAAUUCCUCUUACAGCUUAUAAUCAUAGAAAUAAAAAUAACAGGAAUACGUGUCACAUAUGACAUUGAGACUUUUACACUGUAUGGUGUUGCUGUGUUGGAUUGCAAGUAGCGAUUACGGGUGAUCUCGACCUCUGACCUCCCUAAACUAAGGGCUGACAAGAGGAAAGUCCCCAACAGCCCCAUCCAGUUAGCCACAUCACCAUAGUAACCAUUUUUCAAGUGGUUGCGCUUGAGCUUCCAGAUGUAAUGUGGCCCUCUGGUGGCGGGUAGCAGAAUAGCACGAUUCAGGCAGUAUGUGACAACAUGGCCAAACGUUGUGAGGUGGAUUUAAGAAAAUGUCAGUGUGGGCGGGCACGAGUGUCUCAUCUUCCCCCUGUCAACUGCCUCCACCCUGCUACCCCCACCCUCGAGCUCAUCAGCUGUUAUGGCUCAUCUUACACCCUUCAAACACCUGUAGAAGCCACAGGGACAAAGUGGCAUUUACAUGUGUAGUCUUGUUGUCAUGACGGCGGCCGGUUACAUAAGUACUGUGCGCUGAUUCUGUGCUGUAACACGAGACACAGAACUCACACACACACACACACACACACACACACACACACACACACACACACACACACCCUGACACCGUUUGCACAUUUCUCCAGCUGGAUGUGCUCGUAUGUCACGGAGGACUCGGAGCAGUGUGACCAGCCACGUGAGCCUUUGACGUCUGGCCCAGCCAUUCGGGUUCUACAGUGACCGAGAUCAGUGGCCGGGAGAAUGACAACAAAGUCAGCUCCCAUCAUUAUGCUCGCCCAUCAUUAUAUAUUUGCAUAUGUUUGCAUUGUCUAAGUGAGGCCGAGCAUCAGUGUGGAGCUGACAGCACCAGCGCUCGACUGUCGUGUCAGCCUUGGUUUGCUGUGAUGUUCUGAUUGAAUUUCUCUCUGUUGCUUGGGGCAAAGUUUUAACCACCAGCUGUCCUUGUUGCCGUGCUGCCAUGACAACCGCAUUCAUGUUUGAGACAUAUUUCCUGCGCUGUCCCGUCUGACUGCACGGCUCAUGUGUUGACAGAGGAUGGACUGCAGGGAGGAUAUCAGUGGGGCUUUAUGAAGAAUGGCUUUUCGUGGGGUCCCUGUUGUUGUGGUUGCACUUUUUUCAGUAUGUGGUUGUGUUUUUUAUUUUACUUAAUACACACGUUAUCUGGCAUCAUUGUUCAUAUUAUUAAUAUUAUCUAGCAAGAUGUGUUUGGUAGAGGGCAGCUCUUUGAACAAAGCUAACUCUUUGUCUAGACACCAAAAGUCUUUGAGAAACACACUCCAUUCAAACUGAAAAACAAGCGUUGAUGUAUGCAGGCAAUCAGAUAGAAGUCAUUGUAGAAGAUACCAUCUGGCCAAGUACCCAUCCUCCUUUGUUGUGACGAGGUGCAGCAUUGUGUGUGCUGGUAGUUCAGUGAGCUGUUAGUGAGUAGCAGAAAAUUAUGUAUAUUUUAUUAAAGUGUGGAUUCCUUCAUGACAUCUGUAGUAAAGUUAUGGACCCUAAGUAGGCUUUUUUUCCUUAAGGAGCUACGAUGCAUUUAAAAUACCUUUUUGAAAACAGAUAGAGCUGUUAACUCGGACUCAUUUCACCGUUGCAGCUGUGACACCAAAAAAACAUCUUCCCCUAGAAGCUGGUUUCAUAUGGUGGUUUAGAUGUGUGUUCCCAUUGUCUAGCACCAUUUGAAAUCAGUGUUCUUGAGGACAGGAGGACAGCUCCGGCAGUGAGUGAGCCUCUGGAGGACAUGUACGACACUGUCCUCUCCCCUCCUCCUUUUUCUCCUCUAAAAGAUAACCGAUUUCUUCUGGUGCAUAGAGCCCGCUGCAGCCUUCUAGCACCAUUUGAAAUCGGUUAUGAAACUGUGGAUCAAUGCAUCUGUGAGUCUUCGGAAAAGUGCGGGACGAGCAGAAGAAAGUAGCUGUGGCUUUUUGUCUCUGGAUUCAAACAGGAAGAGAUCCAUCAGGAGUUUGAAGGCCACUCACGGAUGUUGUCUGUAACAUCUGCCAUUUAUGGAUAACAACUUCAUCUUAGCUGUAGUAAAUCUUGCUUGUGUCUAAAUAAAUAUUACAUAAUGUGAGUUACUGGUGUCAUUUUCACUGCCAGAAACAAGUCAAUGUUCCUGCAGUUCACAUUAACCACGACUAGAGGCUGAUAGCAAUUAUAGAAGAUGCCUUUGUGGUUAUUGAGUUGGUACGAUGUAAGAAAAUUCACAAUAAAGCACAUUUCACCUAACAAUAA
Gasterosteus aculeatus aculeatus (three-spined stickleback) is the source of this 2509-nucleotide non-coding RNA. The record is from RefSeq and is a predicted model, not a curated record. NCBI's taxonomy places the organism in Eukaryota, Metazoa, Chordata, Actinopteri, Perciformes, Gasterosteidae.